RNAcentral lists this transfer RNA (71 nucleotides) under Camelus ferus (Wild Bactrian camel). It matches the Rfam family "tRNA". From Rfam's summary of the family: Transfer RNA (tRNA) molecules are approximately 80 nucleotides in length. The record is from Rfam by way of RNAcentral. Lineage: Eukaryota; Metazoa; Chordata; Mammalia; Artiodactyla; Camelidae.
GCGGGUAUGGCUCAGUGGUAGAAUGCAUGCUUAGUGUGCACAAGGUCCUGGGUUCAAUCCCAGUAUCUCCA